CCUACGGGAGGCAGCAGUGGGGAAUAUUGGACAAUGGGCGCAAGCCUGAUCCAGCCAUACCGCGUGGGUGAAGAAGGCCUUCGGGUUGUAAAGCCCUUUUGUUGGGAAAGAAAUCCUGUCGGUUAAUAACCGGUGGGGAUGACGGUACCCAAAGAAUAAGCACCGGCUAACUUCGUGCCAGCAGCCGCGGUAAU
This 194-nucleotide ribosomal RNA is filed under the name uncultured bacterium. Its description in RNAcentral is "partial 16S ribosomal RNA". It matches the Rfam family "Bacterial small subunit ribosomal RNA", at positions 338 to 524 of the family's 1533-position model. The record is from RNAcentral. RNAcentral also lists the same sequence under 2 other names.